GCCUAUGGCCAUACAACCCUGGAUGUGCCUGAUGUUCUCUGAUUUUGGAAGCUAAGCAGGGUCAGGCCUCUUUAGACAUAGAUGGGGAACCAGUCAGGAGGUUUCUGCAUCCU
RNAcentral lists this ribosomal RNA (113 nucleotides) under Peromyscus maniculatus bairdii (prairie deer mouse). The record is from RNAcentral. Lineage: Eukaryota; Metazoa; Chordata; Mammalia; Rodentia; Cricetidae.